RNAcentral lists this ribosomal RNA (1401 nucleotides) under uncultured prokaryote. RNAcentral describes it as "partial 16S ribosomal RNA". It matches the Rfam family "Bacterial small subunit ribosomal RNA". The record is from RNAcentral.
AUCCUGGCUCAGCGCGAACGCUGGCGGCAUGGCUAAAACAUGCAAGUCGAACGCGAAAGCACUUCGGUGCAAGUUGAGUGGCGAAAGGGCGAGGAAUAAGUACCUAACGUGCCUUCAGGUAAGGGAUAGCUCAUGGAAACGUGUGGUAAUACCUUAUAAUCUCACUGGUCCAUAUGGACUUUUGAGCUAAGGCUUGCUGCCUGAAGAUCGGGGUACGUCCUAUCAGGUUGUUGGUGAGGUAAAGGCUCACCAAGCCUAAGACGGGUAGCGGGUGUGAGAGCAUGACCCGCCGCAUCGGGACUGAGACACUGCCCGGACUCCUACGGGAGGCUGCAGUAACGAAUAUUCCGCAAUGCACGAAAGUGUGACGGAGCAAUGCCGCGUGCAGGAUGAAGCCUCUAGGGGUGUAAACUGCUGUCAGGGUUUAGGAAUAAAUGACCAGACCCAAAGGAAGGACCGGCUAACUUCGUGCCAGCAGCCGCGGUAAUACGAAGGGUCCGAGCGUUGCGCGGAAUCACUGGGCUUAAAGCGUGCGCAGGCGGAUCCGUAAGUACCUUGUGAAAUCCCAUGGCUCAACCAUGGAACUGCUCGGUAUACUGCGGAUCUUGAGAUCGGUAGGGGCCAUCGGAACGAUAGGUGGAGCGGUGAAAUGCGUAGAUAUCUAUCGGAACGCCAAAGGAGAAGUCAGGCGGCUGGGCCAUUACUGACGCUCAUGCACGAAAGCGUGGGGAGCGAACGGGAUUAGAUACCCCGGUAGUCCACGCCCUAAACGAUGUGCACUAGGUCCGGGAGGUUCUGACACCAUCCGGGCCGAAGGAAAACUACUAAGUGCACCGCCUGGGGAGUACGGUCGCAAGGCUAAAACUCAAAGGAAUUGACGGGGGCUCACACAAGCGGUGGAGCAUGUGGCUUAAUUCGAAGCAACGCGAAGAACCUUAUCCAGGGCUUGACAUGUAUGGAUUAUUGAUCCGAAAGGUGAUAGACGCUCUCUGAGUGGAACAUACACAGGUGCUGCAUGGCUGUCGUCAGCUCGUGCUGUGAAGUGUCGGGUUAAGUCCCUUAACGAGCGAAACCCCUAUCCCUAGUUGCCAGCGUUAUGCUGGGGACUCUAGGGAGACUGCCGGCGUCAAGCCGGAGGAAGGUGGGGAUGACGUCAAGUCCUCAUGGCCUUUAUGCCCUGGGCUGCACACGUGCUACAAUGGUACAGACAGAGCGACGCAAUACGGCAACGUGGAGCAAAUCGCACAAACUGUGCCCCAGUUCGGAUUGUGGUCUGCAACUCGACCACAUGAAGUUGGAAUCGCUAGUAAUCGCGUAUCAGCUACGACGCGGUGAAUAUGUUCCUGAGCCUUGUACACACCGCCCGUCACGUCAUGGGAGCCGGUAGCACCCGUAGCCGUC